Papaver somniferum (opium poppy) is the source of this 1414-nucleotide long non-coding RNA. RefSeq lists it as uncharacterized. NCBI's taxonomy places the organism in Eukaryota, Viridiplantae, Streptophyta, Magnoliopsida, Ranunculales, Papaveraceae. The record is from RefSeq and is a predicted model, not a curated record. The transcript has 10 exons.
CUCUCACCUCCCUUUCCUCUCGUUUCUUCGUUCCUGAUCACUUUAUUGAUGAGGUUUUAUUUAGUGAUUUCGAUGCGUUUAUGAGUGGAUCUGGUAAUUGGUUUUGUCAUCAGAGAGUAUCUCGAUUUUCCGUUCGAUUCUCCCAUCAAGAUAAAUUUCUUCUCUAUAUCUCUUCUGAGGAUCUCUUCUGAUGUUUGUUGGAUCUUCUCAUAUUUGUUGAGAAAAAAAAUUAAGGAUUCACAAUUUUUAUGUUUCUUCAUUUGAUUUCAUGGAAUUUAAAUCAUGGGUUUGGUUUUAAUUUCAGUUUUAUGAUCUCAGUUUUGAGUUAGGUUAUUAUAUUUGUGUUUGUCUUAACAGUAUUUCAUCAUUUAGAUCUGAAAUUUGUGGGAUUUAUAAUGAUUUUGGUUUGUGAUUUUUUUAGAUAUUGAGUAGAUUAGUCGAAAGCUGAGAAGCGGGAACAAUUAGAGGGUGAUCCAGCUCUUGGAAUCGACAGUAAAUGCUGCUAAUGACUCUUGGGUUUUGAGGGUUCUGGUGAUGAUGGUGUGGUGGUGCUGAUGAGAAAAAAGAGUAAUCUGUUUUAAUUGAAAGAUCUGAGUUUGGCCUCGUACUUUAAGGAAAUUGAGGUGUGGAAACAAAAGACAAUCUUGAACAGAAGACCAACAGAAUUGCACAUUAAGUAGAGAAAAAGCCUGAAAGUACAGAAAAAAGGGUCAUCCUUGGAGUUCAGAACUACAAUGAUAUAACAGUACCUAUUGAUAUUCUAAUAUUCAGGCUCAUGAAAUCCUGUAUGCGCUCAUCAUAUCUAUAUAAAGUUACAUUAAGAGUGUGGAUGAAACAAGACAUGAUGUUGCACCAUAGAUGUUACUAAGUAUCUUGCCUACACCGUCAAGUAUGCAAUUUUGACCAAGAUGGAUGUUCUGAUCUUGAGCAUAUGAGGCCCUAAUUAAUAAGAUCCUCCUCCAGUUGAGAAAUAAGUAGUGGAUACUCUUAUUUGUAUGAGAGACUUUGGCAGUCAGGAAGUAUAUAUUGGAUCAAUCACUUGGAAAUACCUACGAGAGCCUACCUCUUUGCCCCUUUUCCUCUGGAUAUUAAUCGAAUGAGUUUGCAUUUGCUUAUGAAUCAAUUGUAGUGCCGGCCUGCAACAUGAAUUCAGGUUAGGAGUACUAGAUGCCAAUGCUGAAACUGGUGCAUCCAAAGAGAACUAAGUUCUUUUGUUCUUGAUCUUCGUUGUGCUCUUCAGGUAUUUCCACUCCAAAUCUUAGGUGUUUGAGCUUUGAAGUUGAGCAUCCAGCUGCUUAAGUUGAUAGAUACAUUUGUCAUGCCUGUAACCUAUAUUCUUGUACCAACUAAGCAGCUGGAGAGGAUUUUGUUUUUGUCCGAGAGUACUUGAAUAAGAUUAAAUUGUUUUUGGGUA